CUCCGGUUGAUCCCGCCGGACCCGACUGCUAUCAGAGUGGGACUAAGCCAUGCGAGUCGACGUAGCAAUGCGUGGCGAACGGCUCAGUAACACGUAGUCAACAUGCCCAGGGGACGUGGAUAACCUCGGGAAACUGAGGAUAAACCACGAUAGGUCACGAUUUCUGGAAUGGAUCAUGGCCUAAAUCUACAUGGCCCCUGGAUUGGACUGCGGCCGAUCAGGCUGUUGGUGAGGUAAUGGCCCACCAAACCUAUAACCGGUACGGGCUCUGAGAGGAGAAGCCCGGAGAUGGGCACUGAGACAAGGGCCCAGGCCCUAUGGGGCGCAGCAGGCGCGAAACCUCUGCAAUAGGCGAAAGCCUGACAGGGUUACUCUGAGUGAUUUCCGCUAAGGGGAUCUUUUGGCACCUCUAAAAAUGGUGCAGAAUAAGGGGUGGGCAAGUCUGGUGUCAGCCGCCGCGGUAAUACCAGCACCCCGAGUGGUCGGGACGAUUAUUGGGCCUAAAGCAUCCGUAGCCGGUUCUGCAAGUCUUCCGUUAAAUCCAGCCGCUCAACGGAUGGGCCGCGGAGGAUACUACAGGACUGGGAGGCGGGAGAGGCAAGCGGUACUCAGUGGGUAGGGGUAAAAUCCUUUGAUCCAUUGAAGACCACCAGUGGCGAAGGCGGCUUGCCAGAACGCGCUCGACGGUGAGGGAUGAAAGCUGGGGGAGCAAACCGGAUUAGAUACCCGGGUAGUCCCAGCUGUAAACGAUGCAGACUCGGUGAUGGGCUAGCCUUGUGCCAGCCCAGUGCCGCAGGGAAGCCGUUAAGUCUGCCGCCUGGGGAGUACGGUCGCAAGACUGAAACUUAAAGGAAUUGGCGGGGGGAGCA
Molecule: ribosomal RNA, 869 nt
Filed under: uncultured archaeon
Lineage: Archaea
Description: bacterial SSU rRNA
Rfam family: Archaeal small subunit ribosomal RNA
Source: RNAcentral